This is an RNA transcript of Alexandromys fortis (reed vole), 2656 nucleotides long. It is a transcript of the gene named actin binding LIM protein family member 3, with no coding region annotated. The transcript is spliced from 21 exons. The record is from RefSeq and is a predicted model, not a curated record. Lineage: Eukaryota; Metazoa; Chordata; Mammalia; Rodentia; Cricetidae.
GAGCGGCCGCGCCCCCCGCGCUGCCAAGCCGCGAGCCCACAUCAUGGAUGGCGAGCUCUCAGGUUUCGCCUGGCUCGCCCUGGCAUCCCAGAACCCAGACGACCAGCGGGAUUCAUGAGCCGCUCUCAGGGGCCGGGGCAGGGGCCUCUGGCUCCCAAAGCUGGCCAAGAGGUGAUGAGUGAGGCCAGAAGAACGCAAGAUUUAAAAAGCAACCGGGGCCUCCGUAUUGAAUGAAAGACCCACAGCGAAGGCAUCACCAUGAACACGAGCAUUCCUUACCAGCAGACUCCUUACAGUCCCCGGGGCAGCUCCAAUGUCAUCCAGUGCUACCGCUGUGGAGACACCUGCAAAGGAGAAGUGGUCCGCGUCCACAACAACCACUUCCACAUCAGAUGCUUCACCUGUCAAGUGUGCGGUUGCGGCCUGGCCCAGUCGGGUUUCUUCUUCAAGAACCAGGAGUACAUCUGCACCCAGGACUACCAGCAGCUCUACGGUACCCGCUGUGAUAGCUGCCGGGACUUCAUCACGGGUGAGGUCAUCUCCGCGCUGGGCCGCACCUACCACCCUAAGUGCUUCGUGUGCAGCUUGUGCAGGAAGCCUUUCCCGAUUGGAGACAAGGUGACGUUCAGUGGUAAAGAGUGUGUCUGCCAGACGUGCUCCCAGUCCAUGACCAGCAGUAAGCCCAUCAAGAUCCGCGGACCAAGCCACUGUGCUGGGUGCAAAGAGGAGAUUAAGCAUGGCCAGUCACUCCUGGCCCUGGACAAGCAGUGGCAUGUCAGCUGUUUCAAAUGCCAGACCUGUAGUGUCAUCCUCACUGGGGAGUACAUUAGCAAGGAUGGUGUUCCGUAUUGCGAGGCUGACUACCACUCCCAGUUCGGCAUUAAAUGUGAGACAUGUGACCGGUACAUCAGUGGCAGGGUCUUGGAGGCAGGAGGGAAGCACUACCACCCCACCUGUGCCAGAUGUGUGCGCUGCCACCAGAUGUUCACCGAAGGGGAGGAGAUGUAUCUCACAGGUUCUGAGGUUUGGCACCCGAUCUGCAAGCAGGCAGCCAGGGCCGAGAAGAAGCUCAAGCAUAGACGGACAUCUGAAACUUCCAUCUCACCGCCUGGGUCCAGCAUUGGGUCGCCUAACCGGGUCAUCUGCGACAUCUAUGAGAACCUGGACCUCCGGCAGAGAAGGGCCUCCAGCCCAGGAUACAUCGAUUCCCCCACCUACAGUCGGCAAGGCAUGUCUCCCACCUUCUCCCGCUCACCUCAUCACUAUUACCGUUCAGGGCCUGAGAGUGGCCGGAGCUCUCCAUACCAUAGCCAGUUAGAUGUGAGGUCCUCCACUCCAACCUCUUACCAGGCUCCCAAGCACUUUCACAUCCCAGCUGGAGAAAGUAACAUCUACCGAAAACCCCCGAUCUACAAACGGCAUGGUGAUUUGUCCACAGCAACCAAGAGUAAGACAAGUGAAGACAUCAGCCAGGCGUCCAAGUAUAGUCCAGCCUAUUCACCAGACCCCUACUAUGCUUCAGAGUCCGAGUACUGGACCUACCAUGGGUCCCCAAAAGUGCCCCGAGCCAGAAGGUUCUCGUCAGGAGAGGAGGAGGAUUUUGAUCGCAGCAUGCACAAGCUCCAGAGUGGGAUUGGCCGGCUGAUUCUGAAGGAAGAGAUGAAGGCGCGGUCAAGUUCCUAUGCGGAUCCUUGGACCCCUCCACGGAGCUCCACCAGCAGCCGGGAGGCCCUGCACACCGCGGGCUAUGACAUGUCCCUCAAUGGCUCUCCUCGUUCACACUACCUGGCUGACAGCGAUCCCCUCAUCUCCAAAUCUGCCUCACUGCCUGCCUACCGGAGAAAUGGGCUGCACAGGACACCCAGCGCCGACCUCUUCCACUACGACAGCAUGAACGCGGUCAACUGGGGCAUGCGAGAAUACAAGGUAAAGAACACAUAGACCCUGGGGUCUCCAGGAUUCUGGGAACCACUACCUUGGGGAGCAGCAAGAGGAUGGCAGCACCAUCUAUGCAGGGAAGAAGCAUAGAUGAAAAACCUUUCAGGACUAACAUUGUCUCCCCUCGGCCCAUUGUCCCUGAUUCUCCCUUAAGUCUUCUCUAACCCUUUUCCUGUCCCUAAAGACUCUAGGACACCAGAGGGCCCAACUGGACGGCUUAACAGCCACCAACUAUUAGACACAUUCAGAAGGCCUUGGGCCUACAUUAAUGUGAAGUGCCACCACCAAGCUUAUCUUUAGCAACGUUAGGACACUCUGGGGACCAUGCCAAUCCAAGGAGGGCAGACCCAGCCCUUCCUCCUGACUAAAUGUCUGGCCUUAGUGGAUAGAAAAAGGAGCCCAGACUCAAACUGAAGCUGGAAGAGACAAACUUACCCCCCACACCCAAGCGAGACAUGCCCGCCUUUCUCCUUAGAUCUACCCGUAUGAGCUGCUGCUGGUGACAACAAGAGGAAGGGACCGGCUGCCAAAGGAUGUGGACCGGACACGCUUAGAGCGCCACCUGUCCCAGGAGGAGUUCUAUCAAGUCUUUGGCAUGACCAUCUCCGAGUUCGAGAGACUUGCCCUCUGGAAGAGGAACGAACUGAAGAAGCAAGCCCGGCUGUUCUAGGCGUAGGCUCUAUACAUAUAGAUGCAUUUAUAUAAAGAUGUAUGUAAA